AUUAUAUAAUAACUCGAUAAUGUAUCUUCUGCAUUCGUUUAAAAUAUGUUUGACCGCGAACAAUAGAGAAAAACCGGAAGAAUUUAUUUGGAGAACAGAAGAAACUUACCCUUGGGCUUGCUGGUAGCUAAAAAAACUGCAAAUAAAUGCACACCUUUACACAAACUCGUGUAUAUACGAUCACACCUACAUAAGGAAUUCGUAUAACCCAGCCAGUUGCUGCGGUGCGCAAGAGUAAUAAAAAAAGAAACGCGAGAGGAAAGGACCGUUGGCAAAGAGAGGCGGCAACGGAAGCAACGUCGAAGAGAUGUUAUAUAUGUGAAACAGAAUGAGAAAGAGAAACGGUACACGCGUACGCCUGUGUUAGUAAAAUUAUGGUGGGGAUGGUUACAUAGAGUCGCUACUAGGCGUGGCAUGUGGAACCACCCAACCGACCAAUCAGAACAGGAGGCGUUAUCUAGACGUAUAACAAUGCUUCGUGUAAUACAUAGUUCAGUGAUUCUCAACCGGUAUCAAAUCAACUUUUUGACCGUAAAGAAAUCGUGCAAUCGUGAAAAUUUGUUCAAAUAUAAAGGUUCGAGCACACGUCUCGUACGAAAUAAAAGCUCGAAAACUAAUUGUUUCUAAAUUACACCGUCAUGGAAAAUAAUUAAUGUGUGCGAGCAGUAUAUUAUCCUCAUGAAAGCCUUUAUCACACCACGGUGGGAUGAAACGGGGCUUAAGUACCGCCUACGUUAGAAAUCAUUGACACAGGCGCAACUCGUGAGGUUAUGCGGCUGCGUUGGUACGACGAAAGCUUUUCCAGAAUCCGGAACGAUAGAAGGAGGCAGAGAAACAAAGAGAAAGCGAUGAAGAGAGAGAUGAUGAGACAGUGGUGAAAAGAGGGACAGAAAGGGAGGUGCGAACAGAGAGAGAAAGAUGGAAGAAAGGGUAGCAAGUUGGAGGAACGUUGGUCUACGCUCGGUGGGGAGUCCAGCGUGCACCGUGCAUCCAGUUGUAUACCUAAAUGCGUACGGCACUGUUUUAAUAGUACACACGCGUAGUCACGGCCCAAUGAAUUGAUCCCGCGAGGUGCAUCCCCCGGAUAAAAAAGAUGUCGCGCCAUCUUUGAGGGCACUCCCGCUUCCAGAGGGCUAGCGCGCGCAUUUUCGAUCGUGGACCGUCACCCAGCGCAUAGGUUUUUCUCUAAGCAAACGCGCGUGUUUAAAACAAGUUCUGAUUAAGAAUGAAAGAAUCAUUAAAUUAUCGCCAUAAAUCGUUUAAAAUUGCCGCUAAAUUAUGGGACCGAUAAUGUUAAGACCAAUGAAAAAAUAAAAUUUGAGUAUCGUAAAAUUAUUACUUAAAUAAUAAUAUUGAGAUAUGUAAUAUUCCAAACAUUAAAUGUUUAUAAUUCGCAAUAUUUUAAUACAUACAUAUAUAUAUAUAUACAUAGUGUUAACAUAAUAAAAAUAACUGUCAGCUCUGCGUUUAAAAUGGUUUAAAAAUUAACAUUGUAAAAGUGUCAUUUCAAUCGCGUUCUUGAUGUAUAAUCGAAAACGAAGGUUUCCGUUUACAUUCAUUGAAGUUCCGUCGGGCGGAUAAAGAUGUGUGUGAAAGGAAGUGAACAGUAAUUUUUUUAUCAAGACUUACUUAGAACAGAUCGUAAUUAACACGAAGUACUUUCAGUUUAACAAUAAUAGUGUAGAGUAACAUUUAUUAAUUAAUUAUAGAAGAGAGAGAGAGACAGAGAAAAAAGAGUCAGUAGAAUUAGUUAAUAUAUAAAGAAAUAACAAUAAUAUUCGAUGGAAUUCCGUGAACGAUUGAAGUGCGUCAAGUACCGACGGCUUGAUCAAAGUGUUCGCUCUUUGAGACACCCCCGCUGCCAAAAUUACUUUCGCACCAAGGGUGACUAAUUGACUCUUCCCGGUGAAAUACCGGUGAGAUUAUGGGUUUAUUUAAAGGUAAGUAAAAACCAGUUAGAUUUACAUACUUUUGCAUUUAAAUAAAUAUCUGCAAGUUGCAAAGGUAAGUACAAAAUACUUGGCUAUAAUAAAAAAAAAAAUAAAAAAAAAAAAAAAUAAGAUAGAAAAGAAA
This 2073-nucleotide long non-coding RNA is filed under the name Apis florea (little honeybee). RNAcentral's name for it is "uncharacterized LOC116415620". Lineage: Eukaryota; Metazoa; Arthropoda; Insecta; Hymenoptera; Apidae. The record is from RNAcentral.